Molecule: ribosomal RNA, 1625 nt
Filed under: human gut metagenome
Description: bacterial LSU rRNA
Rfam family: Bacterial large subunit ribosomal RNA
Source: RNAcentral
GGGUAGCGGAGAAAUUCCAAUCGAACCCGGAGAUAGCUGGUUCUCCCCGAAAUAGUUUUAGGACUAGCCUCAAGUUAGAUACCUGGAGGUAAAGCACUGAAUAGCCUAGCGGCCGAGAGGUUAGCGAAGCUUAUCAAACUCAGAAUGCCAGAGUAUUGAUGCUUGGGAGUCAGACAGUGUCAGAUAAAUGUCAUUGUCAAAAGGGAAACAGCCCAGAUCUACAGCUAAGGUCCCAAAGUCAGGUUAAGUGGAAAACGAUGUGAAGAUACGCAGACAACCAGGAUGUUGGCUCAGAAGCAGCCACUCAUUCAAAGAGUGCGUAAUAGCUCACUGGUCGAGCGUCUUUGCGCGGAGAAUUUAACGGGGCUAAACCUGACACCGAAGCUUAGGCAAUCCAGUAAUGGAUUGGGUAGGGGAGCGUUGUAUACGCGGAGAAACAGUAGCGUAAGCGGCUGUGGAGUGUAUAGAAGUGAGAAUGCCGGAAUGAGUAGCGCGAAUGCAGUGAGAAUCUGCAUGGCCGAAAGCCUCAGGUUUUUGGAGGAAGGUUCGUCCGCUCCAAGUUAGUCGGGAGCUAAGGUGAGGCCGGAAGGCGUAGCCGAUGCACAGACGGUAGAGAUUCCGUCACCACCAAAAGAGUUAAGCACAGGGACACAUUUGAAGUCUCAGAGCCGGGUGUUGGUUCCGGUAGAGAUCGAGGGAAGUUAGUACCGAAGUCUGGGAUGGAAGAUGGCGAGAAAAGCUGUGUGUAUUUCUGAGGUGCCCGUACCGCAAACCGACACAGGUAGGUAGGAAGAAGAUUCUAAGGCCAACGGGAGAAGGGUUGUUAAGGAACUCGGCAAAUUGACCCCGUAACUUCGGGAGAAGGGGUGCUCCAGAGAUGGAGCCGCAGAGAAUCGGCCCAAGCAACUGUUUACCAAAAACACAGGUUUGUGCUAAAUCGAAAGAUGACGUAUACGAGCUGACGCCUGCCCGGUGCUGGAAGGUUAAGAGGAGAUGUGCAAGCAUUGAAUCGAAGCCCCAGUGAACGGCGGCCGUAACUAUAACGGUCCUAAGGUAGCGAAAUUCCUUGUCAGGUAAGUUCUGACCCGCAUGAAAGGCGUAAUGAUUUGGGCACUGUCUCAACAGCCCGCCCGGCGAAAUUGUAGUACCGGUGAAGAUGCCGGUUACCCGCGACAAGACGGAAAGACCCCAUGGAGCUUUACUGUAGCCUAAUAUUGGGUUUCGAUGUUGCAUGCACAGGAUAGAUGGGACACAGGGAAACAAUCGCUUUGGCGGUUGCGGAGUGGCCGUUGGGAUACCAUCCUUGCGAUAUUGGAAUUCUAACCUGCGGCUCUGAAUCGAGUCGGGGGACAUUGUUAGGUGGGCAGUUUGACUGGGGCGGUCGCCUCCUAAAAAGUAACGGAGGCGUUCAAAGGUUCGCUCAGCUUGAACGGAAAUCAAGCAAAAGAGUGCAAACGCAGAAGCGAGCCUAACUGCGAGACUGACGGGUCGAGCAGUAACGAAAGUUGGAGUUAGUGAUCCGGUGGUAUGUGAGUGGAAAUGCCAUCGCUCAACGGAUAAAAGUUACCCUGGGGAUAACAGGCUGAUCUCCCCCAAGAGUCCACAUCGACGGGGAGGUUUGGCAC